GCACGGGCCCGAGACGUGUUUCGCGCGGACGAGUCUCCGUGCUUGCGCGCGCUUGUGUGCGAAUAUUGCAGAUAUUAAGCCGAGAUCGCCGAGCGCGUUGCGUACGGCGGCCGGAGGAAAUGGCGGCGCGCGACGAAUCGAAGGGAGAAGCGCGACAAAUUAGGCAGCGCGCGCGUACCGGAUGGAUUAGACGCGGCGUGUUCGCGUCUACGAGCUACGAGCGCGAGUAAUCUCUCGUAACGAGAUUCGGCAGCGCUCACGGCGACAAAACAGACGCAGUGCCCGGGAGGGGAGGAGAGACAUCCGGCGGAUGCAGAUGCAGACUGGUUGGGUUCCAACCCGGGCCGGGCAGGCUCGGCUGUCGAAGAUUCAGAUAGCGGAACGUGGCGGAGGUCGAGAUAUUCGGUAGGGCGACAAAUGGGCGACAAGAUUUAAGGUGACGGAUGAGAAAAGUGAGAUGGGUGCUUGAGAUGUCUCGCUGAGCAAUCAACGCGAUUUACUCUGCCUACAGGUGAAUACGUCUCUCGGAGUAAUUAGGGGAUCGCCCUCGGCUGUUCGAUAGAUAUGUACGUAACAGUUUUGUUGAU
Molecule: long non-coding RNA, 587 nt
Organism: Harpegnathos saltator (Jerdon's jumping ant)
Lineage: Eukaryota; Metazoa; Arthropoda; Insecta; Hymenoptera; Formicidae
Exons: 3
Source: RefSeq, a predicted model, not a curated record